UACAGGGGGUGCAAACGUUGCUCGGAAUCAUUGGGCGUAAAGCGCACGUAGGCGGUUUGUUAAGUCGGAUGUGAAAUCCCUCGGCUCAACUGAGGAAGUGCAUCCGAAACUGGCAGGCUUGAGUACUAAAGAGGGUCGCGGAAUUCCCGGUGUAGAGGUGAAAUUCGUAGAUAUCGGGAGGAACACCGGUGGCGAAGGCGGCGACCUGGGUAGAUACUGACGCUGAGGUGCGAAAGCGUGGGGAGCAAACAGG
This 253-nucleotide ribosomal RNA is filed under the name uncultured bacterium. RNAcentral describes it as "partial 16S ribosomal RNA". It matches the Rfam family "Bacterial small subunit ribosomal RNA", at positions 524 to 776 of the family's 1533-position model. The record is from RNAcentral.